GACGAACGCUGGCGGCGUGCUUAACACAUGCAAGUCGAACGGAAAGGCCCUGCUUGCAGGGUACUCGAGUGGCGAACGGGUGAGUAACACGUGGGUGAUCUGCCCUGCACUUCGGGAUAAGCCUGGGAAACUGGGUCUAAUACCGGAUAGGAGCCAUUUUUAGUGUGAUGGUUGGAAAGUUUUUUCGGUGUAGGAUGAGCUCGCGGCCUAUCAGCUUGUUGGUGGGGUAAUGGCCUACCAAGGCGGCGACGGGUAGCCGGCCUGAGAGGGUGGACGGCCACAUUGGGACUGAGGGACGGCCCAGACUCCUACGGGAGGCAGCAGUGGGGAAGAUUGCACAAUGGGCGCAAGCCUGAUGCAGCGACGCCGCGUGGGGGAUGACGGCCUUCGGGUUGUAAACUCCUUUCGCUAGGGACGAAGCUUUUUGUGACGGUACCUAGAUAAGAAGCACCGGCUAACUACGUG
RNAcentral lists this ribosomal RNA (465 nucleotides) under uncultured bacterium. RNAcentral's name for it is "partial 16S ribosomal RNA". It matches the Rfam family "Bacterial small subunit ribosomal RNA", at positions 28 to 507 of the family's 1533-position model. The record is from RNAcentral.